This 94-nucleotide transfer RNA is filed under the name Paxillus involutus ATCC 200175. It matches the Rfam family "tRNA". From Rfam's summary of the family: Transfer RNA (tRNA) molecules are approximately 80 nucleotides in length. Their secondary structure includes four short double-helical elements and three loops (D, anti-codon, and T loops). The record is from Rfam by way of RNAcentral. Lineage: Eukaryota; Fungi; Basidiomycota; Agaricomycetes; Boletales; Paxillaceae.
GGCUUUGUAGUGUAGCGGUUAUCACUUGAGAUUCUGAUUUGGUCACGUGAUGACUGAUGUUCUCAUAACCCAGGUUCGAGUCCUGGCAAGGCCU